AACUGAUGGAUUCAACUGUGGAGUACUUAUUUGUAAGCUUGCCAGGAACUUGUGUGAUAACAGACCGAUCACAAAGGUCAAUGUUUCUAUUGAGAGAAUGAAGCUUCUAUCCAACCUGUUGGCAGCUGUUAUGAUGACAUUUUGAGGUACAAUAAAUAUGCCUUUCUUUUCAUUACAGUCACCACUGUGUAUUGUGUUUAA
This is a long non-coding RNA of Pocillopora damicornis (cauliflower coral), 201 nucleotides long. The record is from RefSeq and is a predicted model, not a curated record. Lineage: Eukaryota; Metazoa; Cnidaria; Anthozoa; Scleractinia; Pocilloporidae.